UAGAUUGAAGCCCGCUGGCUUAGGCUUUUAGUUGUUAACUAAAUAUUUAUGGGAUCAAGGCCCGUCGAUCUAG
RNAcentral lists this transfer RNA (73 nucleotides) under Delma butleri. Its description in RNAcentral is "tRNA-Asn". Lineage: Eukaryota; Metazoa; Chordata; Lepidosauria; Squamata; Pygopodidae. RNAcentral also lists the same sequence under 1 other name. The record is from RNAcentral.